CUGAUUUUUUCUUCUGCAACAUCUAAUCUGCUAUUAACCACAGAGAUUUUUCAUCGUUGACAUCGUAGGCUUUGUCUCUCAAAAUCUGACUUACUUUUUUUAAUAUUUUCUAUGUCUCUACUUAGCACAUUUUAUCGUUCCUCUAGCUUUUUGAUCGUACAAAUACAGUUAUAAUAACUAUUUUAAUGUCCUUCUUAUCUAUUAAUUUUUUCAACUGUGUCAAUUCUGAGUCAGUUUUGAUUAAUUGAUGUUUAUCCUUAUUUUGUAUUGUACUUUUCUGCUUUUUUUUUUUUCAUGAACCAGACAUUGUGAUUCUUACACUGCUGGCUGCUGAAUAUUUUUGUAUUCCUGUCCAUUUUGUUUUUUUUUUUUUCUGGUAUGUGAUAAAUUACUUCAAAAUACUUUGGUUCUCUUUGAUCUUGCUCUUAAGCAUUGUUAGAUAGGACCAGUGGAGCAUUAAGUUCAGGGACAAUUUUCCUCCCUACUGAGGCAAAACCCUUCUGAGUAUCCUACUUGAUAAACCAUAAAUUGUGAGGUUUCCCACUCUGACUGCUAAGAAAAUGGGCAUUAUUGUAGAACCUGAUUGAGCUUUGGGUAUAUUUCCCACUAAUUCCUCUGAGUGAUUAUUUAUCAAGCCUCUCUCCUUUCAGGUACUCCACCAUGUGAAAUGUAACUACCUUGAUCUCCCUGCUCCCUUUUCCUUAAUUCAGAGAGACUCCUAGACUCCAUGUGGCUUCUUCUGCCUGCAUCAUGGCCUGGAAACCGUCCACAUGAUAGCCUAAAUCAAUCAUAGGACUCACCAGAUUCAGUGAGUACAUGUGCAGGUUCAUUAUCAGCAUGUAUUGCAUGAUGCUGAGAUUUGGAGUACAAAUGAUCUCAUCACCCAGGGUCUUGCUCUGUCACCCAGCCUGGAGUGCAAUGGCGUGAUCCGCUCACAGCGACCUCUGCCUCCUGGGUUCAGGCAAUUCUCCUGCCUCAGCCUCUUGAGUACCUAGGAUUACAGGCGCACACCACCACGACCGGUGGUCGCAUUUUAAAGAACUGAACCGAUGCCAAAUACAGACAGCAAUUUUUAUGGGAGAGACAAACAGAGAGAAGAAAAGGAAAACCAAAAGACAAUAAAAAGACGGGAUACAUCAGAGGAUAAAAGGAGCUCAUUUCCUGUAGAGGAACAAACUCCUUUCCUGUCUUCCUGUCUCACUCCCCCAACCAGGACAGCUCCUCUAUCUACAGCAGGCCCUAAGUCACACCUCCAUUGACCUAAUAAAAACUGGUUCCUAUCAC
This 1284-nucleotide long non-coding RNA is filed under the name Homo sapiens (human). Its description in RNAcentral is "HSALNT0161176". The record is from RNAcentral. Lineage: Eukaryota; Metazoa; Chordata; Mammalia; Primates; Hominidae.